Molecule: ribosomal RNA, 200 nt
Filed under: uncultured bacterium
Lineage: Bacteria
Description: partial 16S ribosomal RNA
Rfam family: Bacterial small subunit ribosomal RNA
Source: RNAcentral
AGCGAACGCUGGCGGCAGGCCUAGCACAUGCAAGUCGAACGAAGUCUUCGGACUUAGUGGCGGACGGGUGAGUAACACGUGGGAACGUACCUUUUGGUUCGGAACAACUCAGGGAAACUUGAGCUAAUACCGAAAGUGCCCUUCGGGGGAAAGAUUUAUCGCCAUUAGAGCGGCCCGCGUUAGAUUAGCUAGUUGGUGGU